Non-coding RNA from Solanum lycopersicum (tomato), 2980 nucleotides. NCBI's taxonomy places the organism in Eukaryota, Viridiplantae, Streptophyta, Magnoliopsida, Solanales, Solanaceae. The record is from RefSeq and is a predicted model, not a curated record.
GUAGUCUCACCCCAUAACCCCAGUUUUUAUCCAAAAAAAACCCAAUCUUUUUUUUCAAAACUUUAACCUAACCCUACAAUUUUUAGACUCCAAAUUCACUACGCAGAGCCCCAAAAACCUCAAUUUUCCUUCAAAUUCUGCUCUAUUUUCGAUUCAGUGUUUUGGUUUUGGAUUCAAUUGCUGAUAAAGAUUUGUUUUUGAAAAUGGUGUUAGUGUAAAGUGCUGCUGGAGUUUGAUUUUGAUUUGUUUGUUUGCGAUGACGGGAACGGGAACAGGAACAGGAGGGGAAGAUGUUGAUUACGAGAGCGAUCCGGAGGAAGCGAUGCUGUCGUUGAAGAUGAGGCGGAGAGAGGCAAGUGAUGAUGAGGACGGAGGUGGAGAAAGUGGAAAAACAGAAAAGCCCUUAAGGAGUAUUGAUUCUGAUGAUGAGUCGGAGGGGCAAGGUGCUGCGGCGGUGUACGAGGAUGAUGAGGAGUAUGUAGAGGAGGAGGAGGAGGAAGAAGAAUUGUACGGGGAAGUUGAGGCUGUGGUUGAGGAAGCGGCUGAGGGAGUGAAGGAAGUUGUUGAGCAAGGAGGAGGUUCUACUCCAGGGGUUGUUGAUAGAGAUGAACAUGAUUUGCCGCAGGAAGAAGAGAAAAAAGAAAAUGAACCCUAUGCUGUGCCCAAGACUGGAGCUUUUUAUAUGCACGAUGAUAGGUUUGGAGACAAUGUAGGCGGGCGACAGAAACGAAUGUCUGGCGGAAGAAGGUUAUGGGAAUCAAAAGAUGAUCGUAAAUGGGGCCAUGACAAGUUUGAAGAGUUGACUGUGGAGCAGAGGAAUUACGACGAUGAUAGGAGAAUAUCAAGGGGUCGCUAUCGAGGUCGUGGUAGGAUGCGAGGGGUUGAUAGUGGAGCUUCACAAGGAAGAAAACCCAGAGCGUACAUCAAUGGUAAUGAUCAGACUAAGGAUAAUAACCAGAACAUUCAGAGUAAUCCUUCAAAAGCUAUCAGAGGUCGGGGACCAAGGAGGUACAGACAAUCUUUUAAGGAUAACGCUGACGCACCUCCUCCACCAAACAAGCAAUCUGGUCAGUCCGUUGACAAACCUUCACGUUAUAGCACAAAUGAAGCAUCUGCUUCUGUAUCAGAUUUAGAAAAAGAUGCUGUUACAGCUGCAAAUCAAAGGUCUAUGUCAAGAUUGAAUUAUGCUUCUCCUCCAUUUUAUCCCUCUAGCUCUUCCAGUAAAGAGACUACAAUAACACACAAGAGGGAAAUGCAAACUGAGACAAGUAAUCACAGUGUUCAGCCUUCUCUUUUGGGCGAACGUGCUGCUUCUGCACAAUCAACUGCAAUAAUCCGGAAGGAUCCGAAUGAUUCGUUUGGCAUAAACAAGCUUAAUAUUGAUGAUUCUAUUCCUGCAGUUGCUGGGAAGCCUUCAUCCAGUUUGCAGUUGUCACCGGGGUUGUCUUCAUCAAUGAAGUCUACUCAUCCCCAGGCAUCGAGAGGCCAAGGAAGAGGAUUUAAUGCAUCACCACAUAGGAAUUAUCAAUCGCCUGUGCGCAAUAAUCAAGUCAAUAGUGUUUCUCUGCCAACCCAGCUCCACCCUGCACAACGAUAUUCUGCUCAAAGUCGAGGACAACCUUUUCUGCAAGUAACUGGUCAGCAGUUAGUACAGCAAACGGGUGCUGGAUCUCAAGUUUCAUCUCCCCCCAAAACAGCACAAGUUAUGAAUACUUGUGAACCUGGAGAGCUUGCAUUUACUUCAGAGUCCAAUAAAUUAACGAGUUCCGUGGUUGCAAAAGGGAAAGGCAGUCUUCAGGGUCCUGGAAGGGGAUAUGGGGCUCACAUUGUAGGUGCACCUGGAAACAUGGGUAGUGGUCACAGUAAUCAGAAGUUUUCUGGGACUCCAACCUUUCUUCCAGUCGUGCAAUUUGGAGGCCAGCACCCAGGUGGCGUUGGAGUUCCUGCUGUUGGCAUGGCCUUCCCUGGAUAUGUUGGUCAACCGGGCAAUUCCGAAAUGACAUGGUUGCCAGUUUUAGCUGGUGCUGCUGGAGCACUAGGCACACAAUACUGUUCACCAUAUGUUACUGCGGAUGGUGCUUACCAUCCUCUCCCUAGUGGGCAGAUAUCAUCUCUCGGUGCUGCUCCAAUCAAAGAGAAUAAGACAAGUAAACAAAAUAGUGAACUGAAGCCCCAACAGAGCCCGCCUGAGUUCACAAAUGAUGACUUCAGACUGCGACAGAAGAAUCCUCGCAGAUAUACAGAAAUGAAGUUUGACCAAUGAGAUGGUACGCUGGUUGAAGCAGUUUGAAAUAAGCAAAUUAAGGUCAAAAUCUACAGUUGAAUAUUCCAUCUCUAGUUGCAUGUUGCGAAUCUCUUAAAGAAGUUUGUGGUGCUGCAGCCUUCUCUGUGGCCCUUCGUUUUCUCCAAAAAUGUUGACUGGAGCAUGGGGACAUCUCAUGUAUUAGUAUUUUGAAAUUUCCAGAAAAUAUCAUCCUUAAAGGGCGUGCAUUGUUGCCUUUGAUAAAAUUUUAAAGGGUUUGCUUGACAAUUGCCUGCUCAUGCUGCUUCACUUUGGAAGAUACUCAGCAGCUUGACAGGUGGUUGUUAUCUGUUUAAAUAUGUGGUUCUUGUGGCAUGGUUUCUCGGCAUUGGCAAAUGAUUAAAAGAAGAUACUGGUGAAGGGUUCAGAAGUUGUGCAGCUGCUUUCUAGUAUAUAUAAAACGUUUCUCUUCUAAAUGUACUGUCGUCGGGUCGUUAUGAGUUUUCCAUUUGCAGCUCUAAUUACUGUUGUUAUUAGUAGAUGCUUUUUAAGGUUUGGAAUUUUCUGUUUCAGUCAGGAGAGAGCAUAGCUUACUCAGGUGUUGGGUGAUAAAUUUUCUAUUAAGACAUUGAUUUGUUUCUUGUUUGGUACAAUGGUGGAAUUAGUAAUCGUUCUUGCUAAUAAUAUUACUUUCUAUUCCAGUGUUGGGGGGCAACCACAUAGGAAAUUUUCAGUGUA